AAAAUCUAAAUAAAAUUAUUUUUCAUGGGAUGAUAAUAAUAAUAAUAAUAAUAAGUCUCGAGUUCCAAUUUUCUUAGGAACCAAAUCAACAAUAGCAGGUAAAUAAUAGACGAAGAAACAGAAUUAUGCUUGGUUGAAGAAAGAAGCAAGAAGUUUGAACAAGGCCUUAGCAUUCUCACAAUUGGGAUCAAAUAUAUGGAAGAUGUGAUCCUCUCCUUUGGUUUCAAUAAUCUUGGCAGUCCCUGGCCACCCACUCUUCACCAAUUUUUUCAUAGUACAUCCUUCCUCUAUCCCUUAAUAUGUCUUUCUCUGCAACUAAAACAAGCAGUCUCU
Molecule: unclassified non-coding RNA, 333 nt
Filed under: Hevea brasiliensis (rubber tree)
Lineage: Eukaryota; Viridiplantae; Streptophyta; Magnoliopsida; Malpighiales; Euphorbiaceae
Source: RNAcentral